AUGAUCUCUUCUUUUUCUUCAUCUAUAUCACAAAUAACAAGGCAAUUUUUGCUGUUUACACUCUGUUCAGGCGAGGUUUCAGCCCGCACUGUACAAAUGUUGCCUUCUCGUUUUUCUUCUGGACUGCGACUGGAGGUCGAGCCCUGGCAUCGGCCGACUAACCUAACCUGUACCUGUAAAUGUCAAGACAUUUACAGGUACAAAUAUCAAAAGGAGUUUCGUUUUGUCUUUAAAUGCAUCAACUCCAUUUUGGACUGCAGCAUUUGAUCCACAAGAGGUAAAAAUUCUCAUAAUACGCCUAUGCUCCUCGUGAAAUUACAAGAACUUAUCAGAUAUCCUUUUGUCCGAGACAACUGGUAUAGAAGAUUUUGCCCAUCUUUUGCACAUCUUCAUAUGUCGGUAACAUCAAAAAUUAAGUUCUUGGGGUGAUCCCAAUAAGGACAGGUCGCCUUUUUAUGCGAAUUUAGAUCACUUGACAUUUUGAAGCGAAAAUAUUGCGAUAUUAUCUCGUGCACUAUUUUCUACAUAAUUAACAGCACUUACGUGUGAAAAACUUUGUGUUCCUAUCAUGAUUGACCAAAGCUGGCAUGAGGAACACUUUUACACAUAAACAAAUACCUAUUAAAUUAACGAUUUAAAGGUUUUGAGAACCUACCUUUUUCCUCUCACAUUCCGCACAGCGGGUAUCAGGGACCUUGAACUUUGGUAAAACUCCUUGAGUAUUUCCGGAUCUACUUCGGCAGAUUUCUAUCGUCUGCUUUCCGAAAACCGUUAAAAACGCCUUUAGGCAAAAUCAAGUGGAAAAUCAAUGGGAAUCAAUUGGGGAAAAUCAAUAGUGUUUCCAGGGUCUCAUGCGUAGUGACGUAUUUUCGCAGCAGCCAAUGAGAAUCCGUCAUUUCCACGUGCGAUUUUAUCGAACUUUGGCGAGCUUUUUCGGGCUUUAGGACUCGAUGCUGGAUGGGCUUUCUUCAAUAAUCUUCGAAUUUUCUUCGCAAUCGUGUCCGGUUUGGCGUUGACCUCGUGUAUCGCUUGCAAUGCCCUCUUCCUCAGAACUUCCACUAACUUCCGGUCCUUCUUGGUCCAGGCCAUCAAAGCCCGGAGCUCGGCAUGCUUCCAAUGAUCCUUCGGCUGGAUUCCUUGCACUUCCUCGGUCCUGGUGACGUUUAUCUGAACAAUGUAGUCUGAUGGAUCGCCUGUCGAUAUGAAUUGAUACGUUUUCGUUUUUUUUCCUGUACGAAAUAUUUUGGGAGGUUGUUCCAUCUGUCUGCAGAGAACGUUUCUUUUUUGAAUAUCUGGCGAACACGGCGUCCUCCGAAUCUUGAGUCGGAUCCUGUUGGAGACGCCGCAAUUGCAUGUUGACUUUCGAAAUGAGCAGAAGUGGACGCAGCGGAUGUGCUGGCCAGAGGUUGCGAUGAGGGAGUUGGUAGUUUUUUGGGUGUCGUCGUGUAAAGCCUUAAAAAGGCCUUUUUCACCGAGGCUCCAAUCUCCAGAGUGGUAAACUUCGUGGAUAACUCUUUUUUCUGGAGGUGCUGAAACAAAGAGUCGAUUCCAAGAUGUCUCGACUGCUUGGGAAAAGUUCCUUUGAUGACUUUCUUCACUAGUAACGAAAUCUCUGUCCAUUUGUAUUCCAUUUGUCCGUCCGCGAUGUUCUUCUGAUUCUCUUCCAGCCAUAGACCUACUUCUUUCAUUGUCCGUAAAAGAGGUACUAGGCCCUGGUCUGUCAAUUCUGAUGCUUCCUGAAUUAAUAGCGUCAGGGGACAACCCUGCAAUUGGUCCAGUGUGACGUGCGUUCGUGUGUAGAUGGACGUCGCCAUCGUUUUUCUCGCUAAGAAAUCUAGCGGAAUAUUUUUUUUCCCUGAAAUCCCCACCCUUGCAACAACCCCAUCGUAAAUCUCUUCCGUCUCAUAAAUGUCUGAAAUUUCCGGAAAUAUUUCAAAAGAAAUAUCAAUAUUUUUCAUGAAAUUUUGCCACUCAUGUCGUGACGAUAAUCAAUCUUAAGCAUGAUCACCCCCAAAAAAACCUAACUACUCAAAAAACUACACGGUUUAUAUUAAAAAAUAUUACUAUGUGUGCUGUUGGGCGUGAAACCACUAUUCGACCUUCUAGGAGCUCGGUGUGCCUAUUCAAUAAAUUGAAGGCGUUUUAAUUGCCGUCGCGGCACGCUGAACUCCUAUGAACUACCGUGGUUCAUAAUACGUUUAUUCCGGACUUUUUCGCAUAAGAUUUGUAAAAGCGCUGCCACUCUGUGUGUGUCGAAUGAAAUCUGCACGUUGCCAAAUUUUCUGGAAUAUUUUACGAAUUUUUGAAAAACUGUUGUUUUUUGGUUUUUUCUCGAAACUUUAUGUAAAGAAAACUUAACUCAUAAUUUGAUCUGGAUAUACUUGAAGAAAAUUUCAAAUUAAUUCAUUAAAACUACAUAAUAAUUUUGCCAAAAAACUAUACGGUACAUAAUGCAAAAAUCGUAUUAUGUGUGGUGUUGGGCGUGAUACCACUAUUCGACCUUCUAGGAGCACGAUGUGCCUAUUCAAUCAAUUGAAGGCGUUUUAAUCUGCCGUCACGGCACGCUAAACUCCUACGAACUAUCAGGGUCAACAGAUGAGUGCAAUGCAACAAACGAAUUGAAAAUUGGUAUGACCAUUACAUGGCCAUCACAUUUGCAAUAAGGAACUACUAUUUCUGGCCCAUUUUAGAAUCAACAUACAUGCCAUUGGUUUCCCUGCGCAGAUGUGUGCUUUUAUGGGAGAGCCAGAGAUGGUGGUUCCUUAUUGCAAAAUGCAAUCCACAUAAAACAUGUGUUAAGUUGUUUCAGCCCGCUCUAGUUGUGUUCAUGACCACUUUAAAUAUAAAUAGCAAUGGCGUGUGUUAAGAACUAUGUAGAAUUGUGAAAGUUAAUUAUCAUGAUGAAAUCUAAAGGUUGUUAUAAUCUAUUCCAGCUGACAAUGAAUGUUUUAAGGGUGUGACGUACCCUCAAAACGAAGAGAAAGGGUCUCAAAUUUGCUGCCUUAAAAUUGCAGCCUAUUUUUGUGAACUGGCUGUGUUUUGACCUAUCAUAUCAAGUGUUCUUGUGUUGUCAUUAUUCUUGAAUUGGCAUGCGUCUGAAGUAUCCGAAAAGGAUAUACAAGGCUUUUUAUUCUCAGAACACCCACCAUUUUUGUAAUUAUCAAACGAUGUAUAUUAGCUCAUUCGAGAACGUUCGGUUUUUAAUUCCUUUUAGUCAGUCUGAAUUAUGACUAGUAGUUAGUCCUAAAAUUGUUGAUUUUGUAUAAAAUUAGGUUUAUUUUUAAUUACCACGUUUUGCUCUGUUUUCUCCGUUGUUUUUUUUUCAUUUGCUACUUUUUGUAUUGCCCUCUUUGAUUUUUGAAAAACCUGAAGAUGAAUAAAAAAAUGUUGUUUUAUUUUCCUGUUAAAUGACUUGUUUUUACUU
This 3424-nucleotide long non-coding RNA is filed under the name Bemisia tabaci. RNAcentral's name for it is "lncRNA ENSSSA3NGG000513". Lineage: Eukaryota; Metazoa; Arthropoda; Insecta; Hemiptera; Aleyrodidae. The record is from RNAcentral.